ACAUCAGCCACCUUUAGCUACCAACCCUAGCUUGAGUCUUAUCGAACCUCCUUAGCUACCAUCCUUUUUCAGAGUCUCACUGAGUCCUCUUCGGCUACCUCAUCGAAUCUACUCAGCUACCAUCCUCUUCCAGAGUCUCAUCGAGUCCUCUUCGACUACCAACCUCUCCCUGGGUCUCACCAAAUGUGCGUUAGAACCCUACACAAUAUUAUGACAUCUAAAGAGUAUCUUUUUAAUAUCAUUUUGGUGGUA
This 252-nucleotide long non-coding RNA is filed under the name Elaeis guineensis (African oil palm). Its description in RNAcentral is "long non-coding RNA (EGUI_LNC044173)". The record is from RNAcentral. Lineage: Eukaryota; Viridiplantae; Streptophyta; Magnoliopsida; Arecales; Arecaceae.